This is a long non-coding RNA of Pieris brassicae (large cabbage white), 818 nucleotides long. RefSeq lists it as uncharacterized. Lineage: Eukaryota; Metazoa; Arthropoda; Insecta; Lepidoptera; Pieridae. The record is from RefSeq and is a predicted model, not a curated record. The transcript has 3 exons.
AUAAACAUUUGUCCAAAAUGCAGUCCCCUCGUAAUAGAAAAUCCCAGACUCGUACCAAUUAUAAGUAAACACCAAUUAAGUAACGUUUAUGCCAUCAAAGGGUCUUUUGUAAAAACAAAAAACUGCUCGUUUGUGAGAAAUUGAACAAUGGACGGCGUAUUUGACGCUCUCACGAGCACAUUGCUGUGUUGUGGGUGAACAGAUUUUCCCAAAGUACAAGAAAAUAUUAAAUUCGUACUUAAAAAUAUGUAGUAAAAAAACUAAAUAUACAGCGAAUUUUGAUAAAUUGGUGAAUAUAAUGUGUGAAUACACAUGUUGCGUGAAUGAUCACAUGAAGAUCAUGACCUCCGCAAACUGUCACAAAUUGGGCAUAGGUCAUAGGUUGGUAAUACCUCCACCCAUGUCAAAAGGCAUUCGGCAGUCGGCCUUUUAAGAAUUGAGAUCGAACUAAAGACUAUCAAUAUAUGAGCCCGUAAGGUAAUAAGGCCAAUUGGUGGACUGGAAAUCAUCUUUAUGAGAAAAUGUAGGAUCUACCUUUUAUUACGGUAUUAAUAUAAUAAAUAGUCUAAGCAAUUGUCGUUACUAAAUUAUUCCAAAUGUAAUAAAACUGUGUCCGCUAAAGAAUUACAACGUUGUCCCGGUUUUAUUCUUUCAGCCAUAUUGGCUCGGAAUGAAAUUUUUCAAACGUCACAUCGGGUUUGAUAAAUACCAGGAACUCCAUUAGGGAUGGCAAAAAUAUUUAAAACUUUUUGUUACUUUAACUUUUUGGUUUGUUGUAACUAUCAUGGUCCAUUGUUGUUAGCGUCUUGUUUGUUGUU